CAUAUUAGUGUGAAUGGUUUGAGUAAAUUGUUGAAGAUUAGACAGGAGUGAAAAAACAAAAGGUAUAUAAGUGAUGCUAAAAACUGAGAUGUCAAAUUUAACAUUCUAUUAUUUCUGUUCUUUUAUUUUCUUUUAGUUUUGGUGUCUGAAUUUGUGGAUAUAUGAGCAGGCCCCAAUAUUUAUUUCUUCAGUUCUCUUCCGCCGUCAGGUCGUAGCCUCUUCCUUCUGCAGGUCACCACCUCCUGCUUCUGCAGGCUGUGCCACAUCCCCCCAUUCCCGCAGCGGAUAGGCCGUUCACCACCGGCACCAUAGUCCGUUCACUACCGACAGCCGAGGCCGUUCAACGACGCAACGACGAGUACUAGUUUGGAAGGCCAGGAAGUUCUACUUCUUGCAUAAGCCAACGGAGUAUCGGUCAAAGAAGGCCGAUGCGCCUCGUGCCAGCUCCGGGCAUCGCCGGAGGUCCUAUCUGUUCUUCCACCGCCCCCGUGCACUCACCGUCGAGCCUAUCCAUGCACAACUCUAGUAUUGAUGAGCUUCAGGCUUGUCAUUGUUCAUGCAGAUUAAUUCUUUGUUAAUUGCUAUUGCACAUACAG
Molecule: long non-coding RNA, 596 nt
Organism: Triticum dicoccoides
Lineage: Eukaryota; Viridiplantae; Streptophyta; Magnoliopsida; Poales; Poaceae
Exons: 2
Source: RefSeq, a predicted model, not a curated record